RNAcentral lists this ribosomal RNA (253 nucleotides) under uncultured bacterium. RNAcentral describes it as "partial 16S ribosomal RNA". It matches the Rfam family "Bacterial small subunit ribosomal RNA", at positions 524 to 776 of the family's 1533-position model. The record is from RNAcentral.
UACGUAGGGUCCGAGCGUUGUCCGGAAUUACUGGGCGUAAAGCGCGCGCAGGCGGCCCGCGAGGUGUCACGUGAAAGCCCCGGGCUCAACCCGGGAGGGUCGUGGCAAACCGGCGGGCUUGAGGCCGGUAGAGGUGGGUGGAGCUCCUGGUGGAGUGGUGAAAUGCGUAGAGAUCAGGAAGAACACCCGUGGCGAAGGCGGCCCACUGGGCCGGUACUGACGCUGAGGCGCGAAGGCGUGGGGAGCGAACGGG